RNAcentral lists this ribosomal RNA (518 nucleotides) under Pseudomonas sp. Hugh2090. RNAcentral's name for it is "bacterial SSU rRNA". It matches the Rfam family "Bacterial small subunit ribosomal RNA", at positions 8 to 521 of the family's 1533-position model. The record is from RNAcentral. Lineage: Bacteria; Pseudomonadati; Pseudomonadota; Gammaproteobacteria; Pseudomonadales; Pseudomonadaceae.
AGAGUUUGAUCCUGGCUCAGAUUGAACGCUGGCGGCAGGCCUAACACAUGCAAGUCGAGCGGUAGAGAGAAGCUUGCUUCUCUUGAGAGCGGCGGACGGGUGAGUAAUGCCUAGGAAUCUGCCUGGUAGUGGGGGAUAACGUUCGGAAACGGACGCUAAUACCGCAUACGUCCUACGGGAGAAAGCAGGGGACCUUCGGGCCUUGCGCUAUCAGAUGAGCCUAGGUCGGAUUAGCUAGUUGGUGAGGUAAUGGCUCACCAAGGCGACGAUCCGUAACUGGUCUGAGAGGAUGAUCAGUCACACUGGAACUGAGACACGGUCCAGACUCCUACGGGAGGCAGCAGUGGGGAAUAUUGGACAAUGGGCGAAAGCCUGAUCCAGCCAUGCCGCGUGUGUGAAGAAGGUCUUCGGAUUGUAAAGCACUUUAAGUUGGGAGGAAGGGCAGUUACCUAAUACGUGAUUGUUUUGACGUUACCGACAGAAUAAGCACCGGCUAACUCUGUGCCAGCAGCCGCGGU